Aegilops tauschii subsp. strangulata is the source of this 949-nucleotide long non-coding RNA. RefSeq lists it as uncharacterized. The record is from RefSeq and is a predicted model, not a curated record. NCBI's taxonomy places the organism in Eukaryota, Viridiplantae, Streptophyta, Magnoliopsida, Poales, Poaceae.
CCCUUUAUUACGGCUGGACCAAACCAAAGCAACCAACCCACCACAUCCACCAGGAGACCAUCUCACCACUCCAGCCAGUCUCCGCAGCUCCACGGCGACGGACUCCUUCGAUCUAGUUGAAGCGCCCGCCCGCCCUCCGCUGCCACCAAGGCGGCGUCGAGCGUGCGGCGGCUGAGUAUCCAUUACGCGGUGGAUUCCAAUGGGCACUGUGCAUGCGGCGGUAUUACUUUCACAUCACCGAUUCAUCACAUCAAAACAACAGAGGAGUUCAUAUAAAUAUCUAAUCCAAGAACAAGCCUGCAGAUUCGGCUGGAGCAGUGGUACAAAAGAUGGAAAAGGGGGAGACACGAACUAAGUUCGGGCAGGAUCUAUUAUGGCUGGCGAGGCCAACAAUUUGACCGACGAUGUGCGCAGUGGUGUAAAAUCCUAUUCGGCAGUUCCACCUGAAGGGAACACUUCUCUAUGGCCACAAGGUUCUCAUUCAAACGCCACUCUGGGCUACACAGAGAACUACACACGUAGAGGUUUCUCCUAUAGGAUCCCUAGCAUAAGAACUCAUCCCAUAAAUUCAUAAAUAAAAAUACCAAGUGAAACCAAGAAACUACAUCAUUUCCACAACAUAAUUUACAUAUGGCUUUCCCUUUUGGGAGGCCCCGAAGGGAUUACACAAGCUAAAGAAAAUUACCUUCUAACUACCUUCUUGAGCCUACAAUGAUAUGGAUAUUGUGGCUCUUAUUGCAGGAUAAGGAACUACUACUACUACUGCUGAGCAACGAGCUUGCUAUCUGGGUCGCAGCUCUAUGCUCUAUCGAUGGCUGGUUCUUCUCCAUUUGGUGUCUCUCUUUGCAGCAAAUGCCUCCUUUUAUAGGCGAGAGAGCAGCUCUCUGGAUGGCUUCCGAGAGAAUGUACCUCUUUAUUUUAUAUGUGGUAGGGUGCAUGCGUGUCCUUC